RNAcentral lists this ribosomal RNA (264 nucleotides) under uncultured bacterium. RNAcentral's name for it is "partial 16S ribosomal RNA". It matches the Rfam family "Bacterial small subunit ribosomal RNA", at positions 337 to 618 of the family's 1533-position model. The record is from RNAcentral.
ACCUACGGGGGGCAGCAGUGGGGAAUAUUGCACAAUGGGGGAAACCCUGAUGCAGCAACGCCGCGUGAGUGAAGAAGUCAUUCGUGAUGUAAAGCUCUAUCAGCAGGGAAGAAAAUGACGGUACCUGAGUAAGAAGCCCCGGCUAACUACGUGCCAGCAGCCGCGGUAAUACGUAGGGGGCAAGCGUUAUCCGGAAUUACUGGGUGUAAAGGGAGCGUAGACGGCGAGGUAAGCCUGAAGUGGAAGCCCGCGGCCCAACCGCGG